This 72-nucleotide transfer RNA is filed under the name Sarcina sp. DSM 11001. It matches the Rfam family "tRNA". From Rfam's summary of the family: Transfer RNA (tRNA) molecules are approximately 80 nucleotides in length. Their secondary structure includes four short double-helical elements and three loops (D, anti-codon, and T loops). Lineage: Bacteria; Bacillati; Bacillota; Clostridia; Eubacteriales; Clostridiaceae. RNAcentral also lists the same sequence under 1 other name. The record is from Rfam by way of RNAcentral.
GUCUCAUUCGUUCAAUGGAAAGGACAGGGGAUUUCUAAUCCCCCGAUACAGGUUCGAGCCCUGUAUGAGACA